CAUGUGGUCAAAGAGGUAGUCGUGUGCGGCUACCAUGAUGUAGAUUUUCCUGCAAAAAUAUUAGUCUUGGUGCUAGCACGUCACCCCUGCACUUCCCUUUCAGCUUUACAAGCAAGAUGAAACAAAUGGGUUAUGUUAGUAUAAUCUUUAUAAGCAAGGAUGUCCUGAAUUUCACGGUUAAACCACCCAAAAAUCUAGCCAUAGCAGGUUCUUCACC
RNAcentral lists this long non-coding RNA (217 nucleotides) under Setaria viridis. Its description in RNAcentral is "long non-coding RNA (SVIR_LNC004579)". Lineage: Eukaryota; Viridiplantae; Streptophyta; Magnoliopsida; Poales; Poaceae. The record is from RNAcentral.